UUCAAUGGAGAGUUUGAUCCUGGCUCAGGACGAACGCUGGCGGCGUGCUUAACACAUGCAAGUCGAGCGGUAAGGCCCUUUCGGGGGUACACGAGCGGCGAACGGGUGAGUAACACGUGGGUGACCUGCCCU
Molecule: ribosomal RNA, 132 nt
Filed under: Pseudonocardiales bacterium
Lineage: Bacteria; Bacillati; Actinomycetota; Actinomycetes; Pseudonocardiales
Description: partial 16S ribosomal RNA
Rfam family: Bacterial small subunit ribosomal RNA
Source: RNAcentral